UGGACCUACGGGGCGCAGCAGUGAGGAAUAUUGGUCAAUGGGCGGAAGCCUGAACCAGCCAAGUCGCGUGAGGGAAGAAGGCCCUGCGGGUCGCAGACCUCUUUGGACGGGGAGCAAGGCCGCCGACGUGUCGGCGGAAGGAGAGUACCCGUAGAACAAGCAUCGGCUAACUCCGUGCCAGCAGCCGCGGUAAUACGGAGGAUGCGAGCGUUAUCCGGAUUUAUUGGGUGUAAAGGGUACGUAGGCGGCAUGGCAAGUCAGAAGUGAAAGCCCGGGGCUCAACCCCGCGGACUGCUUUUAGAACU
This 305-nucleotide ribosomal RNA is filed under the name uncultured bacterium. RNAcentral describes it as "bacterial SSU rRNA". It matches the Rfam family "Bacterial small subunit ribosomal RNA", at positions 334 to 634 of the family's 1533-position model. The record is from RNAcentral.